This 674-nucleotide long non-coding RNA is filed under the name Nicotiana benthamiana. RNAcentral describes it as "long non-coding RNA (NBEN_LNC012904)". Lineage: Eukaryota; Viridiplantae; Streptophyta; Magnoliopsida; Solanales; Solanaceae. The record is from RNAcentral.
CUCUGAAUGCCCCAACUCCCCUAGCUCUAUGCUCCUAUCCCCCUCCUCGUUAAGAAGAUCCCGAAAGUACGCCUGCCACCUCUGUUUGAUUUGCGAUUGCCCCGUCAGAACUCUACCAUCCUCAGCCUUGAUACACCUGACUCGGUCUAGAUCACGGGCCUUCCUCUCCCUUGCUUUUGCCAACCGGAAUAACUUCUUAUCCCCACCCCUCUCCCCUAGUUCCUCGUACAUGCGACCGAACACCGCGUUUUAGCUUCCGUGACUGCCAUCUUAGCUUCUCUUCUCGCCUCCCUGUAAACCAACCUGUUCGCUCUCCGCUCCUCCUCGCUCGUGCUCCCUGCCAACCUAGCGAACGCCGCCUUCUUCACCUCCACUUUUCCUUUGACUACCCCGUUCCACCACCACUCACCCUGAUGUCUGCCUGAAUAUCCCUUAGUUACCCCGAGCACGUCCCGUGCAGCCCCCCUAACCAAGUUCGCCCAAAAAUUUUCGUAAUCGGAUAUCACAUCGAAUCGCAACUUAGAGUGAACCCGACAUCGUGAAGAGUGAAAGAAAAUGGGAGAACGGAUCUGGAAAGCGAACACUAAAUCGUGAAGAGCGGAGACUUCUAUGUAGGCGGAAAUUUCGUUCUUAUUUCCCGUUCUUUCAUGUGUGUGCCCUAAAUCUCGUUCAGG